CGCACCGAUGGUGGUUUACGAGGACCAUGACCUGAGACCGACUUAGGAGGACCGGUCAGAAAUGUACGUAAAAUAGGUUAUUACCACGUAAUUCAAAACUAUAUAUACUGAAAGUAUAUAAAUAGACUGAUUUAUGGUGUUUAAAGGCGUUUUAAUUUCAGUGAUGAUACACACUUCGGUUUACGAGGACCGGAUAGAACAAACCGUACGUGGGUUACGAGGACCGGGUAAAAACAAGCCUUACGUGGUUUACGAGGACCGGGUAAACACAAGCCUUACGUGGUUUACGAGGACCGGGUAAAACUAAGCACACAUGGUUUACAUGGUCCACGUUGAGCUAGCGCAUAUCUUUUAAGAUAUGUCAUAUGUGAUAUAUUUAUUUAGCGUUAGAGAGAUCACCAUGUUGAGGUCGAGAGUUCUCUGAUUUCUGACCGUGGUUGCCUGUCAGCACAUCAUUUGGGUUAGUUUAGCAAUACGUCUCUUCAGUAAAAUAAUUGAAAAUGAAAACACUUUUGCGCUAUGCGGGAUUGCUAUUUUUUUUAAUAAAACCCUGGCAGCUACAGUAAAAACCUACAAUGAUUUGACUUUUUUUAUUUUUGUGUUUUCACUCACGGGAACCCUGCGUCUAUUUUUCGCGCGUUUUGCUCUUGCAACUCGCGGCCAUCAGCCAACACACGAUGGUUUGGCAAAUGUUUUGCCUUUUUUUUCGUCGUGAAAACCAAGAAAGAUCGACACACUAUAAUAUAAAGAUUUACAAACGAUGGACAGAAGGAUAAACAAUGGAAUUUGAAAGAAGGUGAAUCUCACUUACAAGAUAGACUCCGAGAAAGCUACCAGCUUAGAAGCAUGAUGCUAGGGCAGGAUUUAUGUAAGGCGAUUGUAUUAAUGCAGCUCAGCAAAAAUUAACACAACCUGAGUAACAGAUAGAUAAUAAUUUUACCAAUGAAAAUUUUCUAAAAAACUGAACCAGAAUAAUAUAAUAAACUUUGUUGGUAAAAAUAGGUUUUCUUUUUUUUUUUGCACACAAAUAUCAUGCUUAAUGUACCGUGAACCCCCUAAUAAUUUAAUAUGGGGAUCUAGUGUGUCUAUGGUUCUCUACAAGGAGGUUCAGUGUUUCGGACCUUUCAGAAAAGGGUACAUUUCAAAGACUAUUAGCCGAAAAGAGGAAGUGUCUAAAACUUUUCAGCUAAUAUUUGCAAUAUUUCUACUAGAAAAAUUAUUUAUUCACCUUGGCAAAUACAAUAUACACUAAACUAGCGUAAUCUUCUGAUAUGCUUUUAUAUAGAAUGUAUAGUGUUUUAAUGUAUUUUUCUUGAACACAUGAUAUUACCUCCUUUAAAACCUAAUGGAAGCCAUUCCUGAUAAAAAACAAAAAAAUAUGUAUAUACAACCUUUUUCAAAAUUAGUCCAUGAAGAGAAUAAAAAACACCCAUUGUGCUGUAUUUGCUUCAAUUUUCUUGAACACAUGAUAGUACCUCCUUUAACCUAAUGGAAGCCAUUCCUGA
Nematostella vectensis (starlet sea anemone) is the source of this 1505-nucleotide long non-coding RNA. RefSeq lists it as uncharacterized. The transcript has 2 exons. NCBI's taxonomy places the organism in Eukaryota, Metazoa, Cnidaria, Anthozoa, Actiniaria, Edwardsiidae. The record is from RefSeq and is a predicted model, not a curated record.